RNAcentral lists this ribosomal RNA (433 nucleotides) under uncultured bacterium. Its description in RNAcentral is "partial 16S ribosomal RNA". It matches the Rfam family "Bacterial small subunit ribosomal RNA", at positions 29 to 507 of the family's 1533-position model. The record is from RNAcentral.
AACGAACGCUGGCGGCAUGCCUAACACAUGCAAGUCGAACGAGACCUUCGGGUCUAGUGGCGCACGGGUGCGUAACGCGUGGGAACCUGCCCUUAGGUUCGGAAUAACUCCCCGAAAGGGGUGCUAAUACCGGAUAAUGUCUUCGGACCAAAGAUUUAUCGCCUUUGGAUGGGCCCGCGUUGGAUUAGCUAGUUGGUAGGGUAAAAGCCUACCAAGGCGACGAUCCAUAGCUGGUCUGAGAGGAUGAGCAGCCACACUGGGACUGAGACACGGCCCAGACUCCUACGGGAGGCAGCAGUGGGGAAUAUUGGAAAAUGGGCGAAAGCCUGAUCCAGCAAUGCCGCGUGAGUGAUGAAGGCCUUAGGGUUGUAAAGCUCUUUUACCCGGGAUGAUAAUGACAGUACCGGGAGAAUAAGCACCGGCUAACUCCGUG